RNAcentral lists this ribosomal RNA (385 nucleotides) under uncultured bacterium. RNAcentral describes it as "bacterial SSU rRNA". It matches the Rfam family "Bacterial small subunit ribosomal RNA", at positions 370 to 772 of the family's 1533-position model. The record is from RNAcentral.
AAUGGGGGAAACCCUGACGCAGCAACGCCGCGUGGGUGAUGAAGGUCUUCGGAUUGUAAAACCCUGUCUUCUGGGACGAUAAUGACGGUACCAGAGGAGGAAGCCACGGCUAACUACGUGCCAGCAGCCGCGGUAAUACGUAGGUGGCAAGCGUUGUCCGGAUUUACUGGGCGUAAAGGAUGCGUAGGCGGAUCUUUAAGUGGGAUGUGAAAUACCCGGGCUCAACUUGGGUGCUGCAUUCCAAACUGGGGAUCUAGAGUGCAGGAGAGGUAAGUGGAAUUCCUAGUGUAGCGGUGAAAUGCGUAGAGAUUAGGAAGAACACCAGUGGCGAAGGCGACUUACUGGACUGUAACUGACGCUGAGGCAUGAAAGCGUGGGUAGCAAA